This 1023-nucleotide long non-coding RNA is filed under the name Canis lupus familiaris (dog). RNAcentral describes it as "lncRNA (ENSCAFG00040015892.1)". The stretch from base 607 to 697 matches the Rfam family "mir-8799 microRNA precursor family". Lineage: Eukaryota; Metazoa; Chordata; Mammalia; Carnivora; Canidae. The record is from RNAcentral.
GGUGAGGUUUUCCUUCUAGUCAUUUUGCUCAGUGCAGAGUGGCCAAAAGCAAGUUGUAUUGGGAAAAAGAGAAAAAGAGAGGAGAGAAAGAAGGAAAGAAAAGAGAAAGAGAAAAAAAAGGGAAGAAAAAAAACGAAAAAAAAAAAAAAGAAGAAAAAGAAAGGAGAAAAAAAAGGGGGUGGGGGAAGGAAACAAAUCAAAAAGCAAAACAAAACAAAACAAAACAAAACAAAACAAAACAAAACAAAAAAAAAGAACCACGGGGAGUAUCUUCUGAUUCUGUGUACUUUAAGUCCCUUGGCUUCUCCUAGAAGUUGUCAGUCCAGCUGGUCUUCUGGGGGAGGGGCCUGUUGUGCUGGUUUUCAGGUGUUAGCAGUUGGGGGAGCUGCUGUGCCCCUGCCUGGUGCAGGGCUCAGUGGGGGUUGUUUGCCCCGUGAGGCCGCAGGAGGAACAGCCCCAGUGGCGGGGCAGCUCUGGAAACCUGGAUUCAGCUCCGGCAGGAACUCCGUCUGCAGGGCCUGGAGGCUCCGGGGCGGAGCCGCUGAUCUGCUCAGCUGGGGCAGGAGCGUCCUCGCUGUCCUGGGCCCUCCCGGCCUCUGCCUGUCCCGGAGGAGGCCGGAUCCUGGGCUGUGUCCCGGCGCCCUGUGCUCCGGGGCCUGCGCUGUUGGAUUCGCGCUCCCGGGCCGCGCAGCCCCCUCCGCGGAGCUGCCGCCCGAGCCCCUCCGAGCUGCUCCGGGUCCCGCGGUGCGCGCUGCAGCCCUUAGGGAGCUCGGCGCACUCUCCUGGGGCGCAGUUGCUGUUACUGUCCCCGGGAGCCCGAGGGCAUCCCCGCCCUCCUGGGUCCUGCUCCAGCUCCCCACGAGCCCCUUUCCCCCGGGAAGGUCGGUGCAGCUCCUGCUCCUCCGGGACGGGGCUCUCCUGUCCUGGGGACACUCGCCCCGGCCUCAGCCCGGCCUCUCGCGGGCCCCUCCCCCUUGGAGGCCUUUGUUCCUUUCUUUCUUUCUCCCCGUCUUCCUACCUUGA